This is a non-coding RNA of Cajanus cajan (pigeon pea), 1689 nucleotides long. Lineage: Eukaryota; Viridiplantae; Streptophyta; Magnoliopsida; Fabales; Fabaceae. The record is from RefSeq and is a predicted model, not a curated record.
ACUUCUUAAUGUAUCUUAAUUGUAUUUUUAGAUUAAUAACUAAUCCAUGUUUAAAUAUACAUAACAUGGAUUCUUUUACUUCGAAUUGUGCUUGGAUGUAUGAUAGGUGUUACCCCAUUAGAAUAGUAUUGAAACCAUCUUUUGUAUAGGGGGUUGAAGAGUUUAUAAACAAAGCUCACCAAUACAAAUAUUAUAAAGGUGAUGAGGGAUUAGAUGUCCAUGUCUCAAAUGUAAUUGUACAAGGAUUUUGAAUGAUGAAAUUGUAAAGGUUCACCUUUACAAACAAGGGUUCAAACUUGAUUAUUUUGUUUGGACUAAUCAUGGUGAAGAAAUACCACAUGUUGAUUUACAUGCUAAAGAUAAUUGUAUGGAUGUUUAAGACAGUGUUGUAGAUGUGCCUCGAGGGGAACAAUUUAUGUUUAUGCAAGAGAUGAUGUCUGAUGCUUUUAGACAAUAUGAGUCACUUGACACACCAGAGUUUGACAACAUGGAAGAGCCUCCAAAUGAAGAAACUCAAAGAUUUUAUAAUCUGUUGACAGAGUCAAAUAAGUCGUUGUUUGAAGGGGCUAAAGACUCUAAACUAUCCAUAUGUGUGAGGCUAUUAGCUUGCAAGUCCAAUUGGGAUGUUCCUGAUCAAUGUUUAGAGUUUAUUAUACAUAUGCUUUUGGAUGUAACACCCAUAAAAGGGAGUUUGCCAAAAAGUUAUUAUGAUGCCAAACGAUUAAUAGCAAAACUAGAAUUGGAAGCUAAGAGGAUGAUUGUUGUGUGGUAGUCUUCAUAUAACGUAAGGUGGCAUAGAGACUUGAGGAUGAGGAACAGAUAAAGUAAUUUUUUUACUCAAAGGCCUCUCAUAAAUUGUUUGAUAUGUUUAGUGAAGCUCGAAAAAUAGGUAAAAGGCCAUUCUAGGCUAGACAAGAUGUGUGGAACCAACUGGUAGCACAUUGGAAUUCAACUGCUUUUCGAUCAAAGUCUACACAAGCCUCACUAAAUCAAGCAUCUAAAAAGGGCGGGACUCUUCAUACAGGUGGCUCAAUUACAAUUCAUGAUCAUGCCAAACGCAUGGCAAGAGAAUUUGGUUGCUCAGUACAUAUUGAUGAGGUCUUUCAAUAGACCCACAUACGAAAAGAAACUAGAGAGUUUGUUGAUGAAAGAUCUAAGAAAACAUAUCUAUGUUUGAGGCUGCAUCAUCUGUUCAUGAAUCACAUCCUAUGGAGCCUAGUUUGGAGGAUACAAUUAAGUCUAAAUGUUGGUCUGAUGUAGUUGGUGGCAUGACCACUAAGGGGCGAUUGUAGGGAGCUGGAGACCUUGCUUGUGAUUUUAAAGAUACACAGAGCAGUCGUCUCAAGCUUAAAAGGAAAGUAUAUUAUAGUAAUUCACAUGACAUUGAAGAUAUUGUUCAAUUGAAACAAUGACUUGUAGAAAAUGAUAUGCUUAUUCAUUAGUUACAACAGUUUCAAUCAAUUGUUAUGCAGUUCUUACCCACAGAAGCACAAAUUGCCAUUCAAAAUAUUAGUCAACAAAAUGUCAACCUAGAUCAACAAAAUGGGGAACAACAACAACAACAACAACAAUAAGAUGACUAAGGAAAAAAUCAAGAAGACUCUCCUAAUUAUGAUGAUUAUUAGUUAGCAUUAGAAAAAUAUGAAUCUAUUUGAAUUAACUAUAUAUGAAUUGUUUAAUAUAUGUUAG